UGGAUAAUAGUUAAAUAAUAACAAUUAAAUUGCAUUUAAUAAUUCUUAAUAUAAUAAGUUAUCUAU
This 66-nucleotide transfer RNA is filed under the name Xylocopa appendiculata. RNAcentral's name for it is "partial tRNA-Ala". The record is from RNAcentral. Lineage: Eukaryota; Metazoa; Arthropoda; Insecta; Hymenoptera; Apidae.